UUUAUUGUUCACAGCAAACCAAAAGUUGAAAUAGUAAGUUGCACAAAGUUGAAAGUGUGGAGGGUGGGAAGGUGGAGAAGCUGGACUGCUGCUGUUCAAUGAUCAAGGAAUUAGAAGCUGUUGCUCUGGAGCAACAGCGUAGGUGGAAUGUUGGUGCCAAGUGGGUUCUUUUUUUCUGUACCUCACUUCCUUUCCUUGCCUGUGGCUUUCAACAAAUAUGGUGGUGGGAUGGUCAAAAUCAUGAUCCUUCUCAAAUUCCAAUUUGAAAUAUUCUUUCAACAGAUGUGUCCUAUAGUGUUUGCUACAGACUGAGUUCUAUAGCCCCAAAAUCAUAUAUUGAAGCCUUAACACCCCGUACCUGAAAAUGUGACCAUUUGGAGAUAAGACCUUUAUAGAAAUAGUUACAUUACAAUGGGAUUAUUAAGGUGGGCCCUAAUCUAAUAUGACUAGUGUUCUUACAAGAAUAGAAAAUGAGAAUAUAGACAACAUAAAGAGGCACCAUGUGAAAACACUGAAAGAAAACAGCUAUUUACAGGUCAAGGAGACAGGCCUCAGAAGAAGCAAUCCUUCGGACAGCUUGAUUUUGGACUUCCAGCCUCUGCUGCCUGGCAGUUUGGCUAUAUUUGUGCAAAGAAAAGUACUAUUCGCUGAUUCAGCGUUGAGUCUUUCAGGAUGCAGAGGCUGUCGGAGAAUCACAGUAACUCGCCAUACAUUUGGAUGCCUCUGACACCGGGUAGACCAUAUGAUAACCUAGUGCUCAGGAAGUAUUCAGGUUUCUUCCUAAAUAAUUAUACUCUUGAAAACUUUAAAAUUAUGUCCCGUGAACAGAAUAGGUAGCUUCAUUUGGGGUCACUGUGUAUCAGUAACUAAAUGUCUUUUUAAUCUUUG
Molecule: long non-coding RNA, 888 nt
Filed under: Homo sapiens (human)
Lineage: Eukaryota; Metazoa; Chordata; Mammalia; Primates; Hominidae
Description: HSALNT0306345
Source: RNAcentral